Molecule: unclassified non-coding RNA, 363 nt
Filed under: Zea mays
Lineage: Eukaryota; Viridiplantae; Streptophyta; Magnoliopsida; Poales; Poaceae
Description: misc RNA Zm00001eb177700
Source: RNAcentral
AUGAUGAAGACCCCAAAGAACACUGCAAUGCAAACGCAGCCAGAACAAAGGCAGGAAAAAGUCAGUGGCUGCCGUACUUCUUGCUGCACCUUUAGGCUUUUUAUCUGCACAUGUAAAGUUGCUGAAGCUGCUGGUCCCAGCAUUUUCCCUACGGUUAAAGCUAAAUUUAACUCUUCGUGGAAGGCUAAAGAUUUGUUGCAUCAAAAACUCUUCCCAUGGCACAUCUUUUGGUUUCAUGUUGAAAUGAAGAAACAGAAGAGAUUACCAUGGGGUAACGGAAUUACAGAGAGAGAGAGAAGGAAGAGACUGAGAGAUGGUGAUGCAUGUAUUAUCACUUACCCAGUUUGGCCAGCGUCCAGAGGG